AACUUUUCGAAUCCGUGCUGAGAUUUCGUUAGACAUCAACCCAUCUGGGCUGAUUCGACUUCCAAGAUAAGUGAAGUU
Schistosoma haematobium is the source of this 78-nucleotide non-coding RNA. Lineage: Eukaryota; Metazoa; Platyhelminthes; Trematoda; Strigeidida; Schistosomatidae. The record is from Rfam.